AGUGUAGAGGUGAAAUUCGUAAAUAUUAGGAGGAACACCAGUGGCGAGGGCGUCUAUCUGGUUCAAAUCUGACGCUGAGGCGCGAAGGCGUGGGGAGCAAACAGGAUUAGAUACCUUGGUAGUCCACGCUGUAAACGAUGAAUGUUAAAUAUGGGAAGUUUUACUUUCUGUAUUACAGCUAACGCGUUAAACAUUCCGCCUGGGGACUACGGUCGCAAGAUUAAAACUCAAAGGAAUUGACGGGGACCCGCACAAGCGGUGGAGCAUGUGGUUUAAUUCGAUGCAACGCGAAAAACCUUACCACUCCUUGACAUGGAAAUUAUACCUAUUCGAAGGGAUAGGGUCGGUUCGUCCGGGUUUCACACAGGUGUUGCAUGGCUGUCGUCAGCUCGUGUCGUGAGAUGUUGGGUUAAGUCCCGCAACGAGCGCAACCCUCAUCCUUAGUUACCAUCAGGUAAUGCUGGGGACUUUAAGGAAACUGCCAGUGAUAAACUGGAGGAAGGUGGGGAUGAUGUCAAGUCAUCAUGGCCCUUAUGGAGUGGGCUACACACGUGCUACAAUGGUGGCUACAAUGGGCUGCAAAGUCGCGAGGCUAAGCUAAUCCCUUAAAAGCCAUCUCAGUUCGGAUUGUACUCUGCAACUCGAGUGCAUGAAGUUGGAAUCGCUAGUAAUCGUGGAUCAGCACGCCACGGUGAAUACGUUCUCGGGUCUUGUACACACUGCCCGUCACGCCAUGGGAAUUGGUUUCACUCGAAGCUAACGACCUAACCGCAAGGAGGGAGUUAUUUAAAGUGGGAUCGGUGACUGGGGUGAAGUCGUAACAAGGUAGCAGUAGGGGAAUCUGCGGCUGGAUCA
RNAcentral lists this ribosomal RNA (855 nucleotides) under uncultured bacterium. Its description in RNAcentral is "bacterial SSU rRNA". It matches the Rfam family "Bacterial small subunit ribosomal RNA", at positions 672 to 1525 of the family's 1533-position model. The record is from RNAcentral.